AGCACGGACCAAGGAGUCUAACACGUGCGCGAGUCGCAGGGUUGUACGAAACCCGAGGGCGUAACGAAAGUGAACGAGAUCUUCGGAUCUAUCAGGUGGGAUCCCGAAGCCUUUGGCGACGGGCGCACCACCGGCCUGUCUCGGCCGCAGCGUCGGCGAGGCGGAGCAAGAGCGUACGCGUUGGGACCCGAAAGAUGGUGAACUAUGCCUGAGCAGGAUGAAGCCAGAAGAAAUUCUGGUGGAAGUCCGCAGCGAUUCUGACGUGCAAAUCGAUCGUCAAACUUGGGUAUAGGGGCGAAAGACUAAUCGAACCAUCUAGUAGU
This 323-nucleotide ribosomal RNA is filed under the name Salifa perspicax. RNAcentral's name for it is "eukaryotic LSU rRNA". It matches the Rfam family "Eukaryotic large subunit ribosomal RNA", at positions 658 to 951 of the family's 3401-position model. Lineage: Eukaryota; Metazoa; Annelida; Clitellata; Hirudinida; Salifidae. The record is from RNAcentral.